AUUGAACGCUGGCGGCAGGCCUAACACAUGCAAGUCGAGCGGAUGAAGGGAGCUUGCUCCUGGAUUCAGCGGCGGACGGGCGAGUAAUGCCUAGGAAUCUGCCUGGUAGUGGGGGAUAACGUCCGGAAACGGGCGCUAAUACCGCAUACGUCCUGAGGGAGAAAGUGGGGGAUCUUCGGACCUCACGCUAUCAGAUGAGCCUAGGUCGGAUUAGCUAGUUGGUGGGGUAAAGGCCUGCCAAGGCGACGAUCCGUAACUGGUCUGAGAGGAUGAUCAGUCACACUGGAACUGAGACACGGUCCAGACUCCUACGGGAGGCAGCAGUGGGGAAUAUUGGACAAUGGGCGAAAGCCUGAUCCAGCCAUGCCGCGUGUGUGAAGAAGGUCUUCGGAUUGUAAAGCACUUUAAGUUGGGAGGAAGGGCAGUAAGUUAAUACCUUGCUGUUUUGACGUUACCAACAGAAUAAGCACCGGCUAACUUCGUG
Molecule: ribosomal RNA, 484 nt
Filed under: uncultured bacterium
Lineage: Bacteria
Description: partial 16S ribosomal RNA
Rfam family: Bacterial small subunit ribosomal RNA
Source: RNAcentral